RNAcentral lists this ribosomal RNA (491 nucleotides) under uncultured bacterium. RNAcentral describes it as "partial 16S ribosomal RNA". It matches the Rfam family "Bacterial small subunit ribosomal RNA", at positions 29 to 506 of the family's 1533-position model. The record is from RNAcentral.
AGUGAACGCUGGCGGUAGGCCUAACACAUGCAAGUCGAACGGCAGCACAGUAAGAGCUUGCUCUUACGGGUGGCGAGUGGCGGACGGGUGAGGAAUACAUCGGAAUCUACUUUUUCGUGGGGGAUAACGUAGGGAAACUUACGCUAAUACCGCAUACGACCUACGGGUGAAAGCAGGGGAUCUUCGGACCUUGCGCGAUUGAAUGAGCCGAUGUCGGAUUAGCUAGUUGGCGGGGUAACGGCCCACCAAGGCGACGAUCCGUAGCUGGUCUGAGAGGAUGUGCGGCCACACUGGAACUGAGACACGGGCCAGACUCCUACGGGAGGCAGCAGUGGGGAAUAUUGGACAAUGGGCGCAAGCCUGAUCCAGCCUUACCGCGUGGGUAAAGAAGGCCUUCGGGUUGUAAAGCCCUUUUGUUGGGAAAGAAAAGCAGCAGGUUAAUACCCCGCUGUUCUGACGGUACCCAAAGAAUAAGCACCGGCUAACUUCGU